GAACUUUCAUUCCGAGUUGUCAAAUGAUAGGGUAACGCCUUGAAGGGCACCUCUAAUAUUCCGACAUGCGGUUAGAUUGGCAAGAGUCUAACGGUUUGAAGCUCGGAGAAGUCGGCUGAGAGCUACCGUAAGUUAAAAUACACGAAAGCUGUCCAGAGGUGGAUGGUGUAGCAUAUAGGCCGGGGGUCUACAAA
RNAcentral lists this non-coding RNA (194 nucleotides) under Bacillus thuringiensis. RNAcentral also lists the same sequence under 1 other name. The record is from RNAcentral. Lineage: Bacteria; Bacillati; Bacillota; Bacilli; Caryophanales; Bacillaceae.